RNAcentral lists this ribosomal RNA (340 nucleotides) under uncultured Pseudomonas sp. Its description in RNAcentral is "bacterial SSU rRNA". It matches the Rfam family "Bacterial small subunit ribosomal RNA", at positions 1046 to 1382 of the family's 1533-position model. The record is from RNAcentral. Lineage: Bacteria; Pseudomonadati; Pseudomonadota; Gammaproteobacteria; Pseudomonadales; Pseudomonadaceae.
UGGCGUGUCGUCAGCUCGUGUCGUGAGAUGUUGGGUUAAGGUACCGUACGCGAGCGCAACCCUUGUCCUUAGUUACCAGCACGUUAUGGUGGGCACUCUAAGGAGACUGCCGGUGACAAACCGGAGGAAGGUGGGGAUGACGUCAAGUCAUCAUGGCCCUUACGGCCUGGGCUACACACGUGCUACAAUGGUCGGUACAAAGGGUUGCCAAGCCGCGAGGUGGAGCUAAUCCCAUAAAACCGAUCGUAGUCCGGAUCGCAGUCUGCAACUCGACUGCGUGAAGUCGGAAUCGCUAGUAAUCGUGAAUCAGAAUGUCACGGUGAAUACGUUCCCGGGCCUU